RNAcentral lists this long non-coding RNA (659 nucleotides) under Homo sapiens (human). RNAcentral describes it as "HSALNT0378809". The record is from RNAcentral. Lineage: Eukaryota; Metazoa; Chordata; Mammalia; Primates; Hominidae.
CCCCCACCCCAACCGGGAUCCCCAGAUAAUGAGAAAUAGAUGGUGGCCCUCUGUUUGUAAGCUGUUCAUUUGCAUAGGUCGGAACCGCGCACCACAGCUUGAAGCUAGGAAUUAAAAUAUCGGUGGGAAUUAAAUAAGUGGCUGGCUUAAAGAACAUCUUCUUAAUUUAUCCCCAAAUGUAGACAUCUCUUCAGUGGACCCCCUGAUAGGCCGGUUUGCUCCAGAAGAGACGGGGUUUCACCAUGUUGGCCAUGAUGGUCUCGAUUUCUGACCUUGUCAUCCGUCCGCCUUGGCCUCCCAAAGUGCUGGGAUUACGGGCGUGAGCCACCGUACCCAGCCUGCUUCCUGUUUUAACAGACGAAGAAAUGGAAUAACUUCCAACAAGUUGGAGCUGAAGGAGUGCCCAGGCUGCGGAUGGAGGAAGGACGUGCUCGGGAGAAGGUGAAGAUGGGAGAGAAGCAAGAUCUUCUGUGUUUGGACCAAGGACACAUUUCCUUACUCCAUAGCAGCUGUGCAUGGAAUAUGGAUGUGUGGUCUGGAUGUACAGACACCAUUUUGGACCAUAAAGACAAGGACGAUUGUCUAAGGAUGACACAGCCAGAGCACUGAGAGUGGCGAGAAGGACAGGGGAGCUGCUGUGCCAAGCAGGACUGUCUCUC